This 433-nucleotide ribosomal RNA is filed under the name uncultured bacterium. Its description in RNAcentral is "partial 16S ribosomal RNA". It matches the Rfam family "Bacterial small subunit ribosomal RNA", at positions 29 to 507 of the family's 1533-position model. The record is from RNAcentral.
AACGAACGCUGGCGGCAUGCCUAACACAUGCAAGUCGAACGAGACCUUCGGGUCUAGUGGCGCACGGGUGCGUAACGCGUGGGAACCUGCCCUUAGGUUCGGAAUAACUCCCCGACAGGGGUGCUAAUACCGGAUAAUGUCUUCGGACCAAAGAUUUAUUGCCUUUGGAUGGGCCCGCGUUGGAUUAGCUAGUUGGUAGGGUAAAAGCCUACCAAGGCGACGAUCCAUAGCUGGUCUGAGAGGAUGAUCAGCCACACUGGGACUGAGACACGGCCCCGACUCCUACGGGAGGCAGCAGAGGGGAAUAUUGGACAAGGGGCGAAAGCCUGAUCCAGCAAUGCCGCGUGAGUGAUGAAGGCCUUAGGGUUGUAAAGCUCUUGUACCCGGGAUGAUAAUGACAGUACCGGGAGAAUAAGCUCCGGCUAACUCCGUG